GCACCCGUAGCUCAUUUGGAUAGAGUGCUUGGCUUCGAACCAAGAGGUAGCAGGUUCAAAUCCUGCCGGGUGCACCA
This 77-nucleotide transfer RNA is filed under the name Candidatus Doudnaibacteriota bacterium. RNAcentral describes it as "Candidatus Doudnabacteria bacterium tRNA-Arg". It matches the Rfam family "tRNA". Rfam says of the family: Transfer RNA (tRNA) molecules are approximately 80 nucleotides in length. Their secondary structure includes four short double-helical elements and three loops (D, anti-codon, and T loops). Further hydrogen bonds mediate the characteristic L-shaped molecular structure. tRNAs have two regions of fundamental functional importance: the anti-codon, which is responsible for specific mRNA codon recognition, and the 3' end, to which the tRNAs corresponding amino acid is attached (by aminoacyl-tRNA synthetases). tRNAs cope with the degeneracy of the genetic code in two manners: having more than one tRNA (with a specific anti-codon) for a particular amino acid; and 'wobble' base-pairing, i.e. permitting non-standard base-pairing at the 3rd anti-codon position. The record is from RNAcentral. Lineage: Bacteria; Candidatus Doudnaibacteriota.